GGUUAUUUGUAUUCUACUUUUAUUUUACUGGUGCUUCUUUUGGUCUUUCUCCAUACCCACACCGUCCCUAUCCAAAACGGCGCCGUUUUAACACCACCAAAACCCUAACUAUAAAAGCAACAUAAACUCCUCUCUCUCCCUUCCAGAUCUUUCUUGCCUGCCUCCCUUCUCUCUCUCUCUCUCUCUCUCUCUCUCUCUCUCUCUCUUCCAAUUUUUUUUCUUGUUUAUCGUCGUUUGAUGUAUAUUACCUUCGUAUUUUUCAAAUCUACAAAACAAAAAUUGUUUUUCUUUCCAUUUUUGCUAUUUGUGUUCAUAUGUUUUUUUUUUUUUGGCUUUCCAUUCAAGUUUAUUUAUUUUUUGUUGGGUUUGAUUUGUUCUACUUUUUUGUUUCUUUACUAUUUUGGUUUCGAUUUUACGAUCAUGUUAAUUUGCAGGCCAGAGAAAAGAUGUACGUGCUAUGCUAAUUGGAAGUACUGCAACAUUAUUGGCUACCAUGUUGUACCCUAAUGUUUUUGCAUGGCAUCACACGCUAUGGCUACUAGAUACAACUUUCUUUAUGCCAGAGGAGCAUAAUAAUGAUGCAGGUGACUUGACACCAAACGGAAGUGAAAUAAAGCGGUUCGAUGAUCUGUUGGUGAAUCUUUUCUCAAGACAGCAAAAUUUCAAAGUGCUUAUUUCCAAUUUCUCGGAUUUCUAUAUAUCUUAUAUUAUCUUAUCAAAAAAAAAAAUGAAUUCACGUAUUCAUUCAGUUUUCGAUCUUUAAAUGCCCCCUAGCUACUCUGAAGUCUGAACCCUAUAUAGACAUGAUUGAUCAUCAUCUACAUAUUCUUCUGCAAUAUCCAUUACAAUCUAUAAGUUCUUUAUUCUACGUGUGCAACCUGUUUUGAAUGGAAUAAAGGCAGACGGGAAAAAAUAGAUCUUGAAUUGUGGAUUGGCCGGUACUAAUCAUUCAACGUACAAUAGCUUGGCAUCAACCGUGCAUUUUUCACUGCAGGGAAUGAAUUGAGUAUGGUAUUAUUUCACCAUGCACCUUGGUCUAAUUACUCAUUUAGUGGAAAGACAAAUUCUUGUCGGCAAGACUUACUAUUGCUGACUGCUCACCAACUAAGGCCGGGUACUAUCUCUCUCUAUCUCUCUCUCUCUAGAGGUUGAUCUUUUCAUCAGUAUGGUAUGCUUCACUACUCCACUCUUUUUUCUUUUCUUUUUUUUUUUUUUUUGUGUUAAAGGGAAAGGAAAUAUAGGUGAAGGUGGACACGAGGUACUUAAGUUGCAGAACGGCCAAGAUGGCGCAGCUGGGGUGUCUUGCAUUGAAUCCAGAAGCAAUCCUGCAACAAACGAUUGGGUUCCAAAGAUCAACGAAGAUCAGGUCUUUGUCUCCUCAAAACCAAAUCGGAGCGAGAGCUCUUAGAUGUGUCGGUAGGAGGGAGCUUUCGAGAAAGGGACUUAGCACCAACUUUCCCUGUAAACUUUUUUAAUCGAUAGAGAUUAGAUGAGCAUCAUGAAAGUUUUAAAAAAUUCACGUAAUGGGUUUUCAACUAUUCAAGCGAUGACUUCUCCCAA
This is a long non-coding RNA of Carya illinoinensis, 1560 nucleotides long. RefSeq lists it as uncharacterized. The record is from RefSeq and is a predicted model, not a curated record. The transcript is spliced from 3 exons. Lineage: Eukaryota; Viridiplantae; Streptophyta; Magnoliopsida; Fagales; Juglandaceae.